Molecule: ribosomal RNA, 236 nt
Filed under: uncultured Staphylococcus sp.
Lineage: Bacteria; Bacillati; Bacillota; Bacilli; Caryophanales; Staphylococcaceae
Description: partial 16S ribosomal RNA
Rfam family: Bacterial small subunit ribosomal RNA
Source: RNAcentral
GGGUGAGUAACACGUGGAUAACCUACCUAUAAGACUGGGAUAACUUCGGGAAACCGGAGCUAAUACCGGAUAAUAUAUUGAACCGCAUGGUUCAAUAGUGAGAGACGGUUUUGCUGUCACUUAUAGAUGGAUCCGCGCCGCAUUAGCUAGUUGGUAAGGUAACGGCUUACCAAGGCAACGAUGCGUAGCCGACCUGAGAGGGUGAUCGGCCACACUGGAACUGAGACACGGUCCAG